AAAGAUUCCGAUGUGUCACUGUCCUAUUUGCUAACAGUCGUGGCCGCUCGUAAGUCCCAACAAAGACACUCCUCGGAAACCCCUUUCCCUUUCGGCUAAAGAAAUAUCUUCUUGUUCCAAUCGCCCUGAUAUUUAUAUGUAUAUAUAAACCACGCGCUCACUCUUUUUUCAGUCUUUACUUCUCGCGAUACUUUUCGCCGUCGGCAAGAGAUUAUUGUAGCGUAAAGACACAGCAAUGGCGCCGCCGGUUAUUGAAGGUGGCGGAGGAGAACAGCCGGCCCCUGCGCAGCAGCAGCGGCAGCAGGGAGGAGUUGGACAGAUGCUGACGGGGAUAAUAAGAGUAGCGGUUUUCUGGUACUUCGCUUCCAAGUUUUUCUCGCCGAAAAAGCCAAUCUCCUCCGAUCCGUCUGCUCCUAAUCUCCAGAUCUCCAAUCUCUUCCACAAAGGCGAACCUUUG
Molecule: long non-coding RNA, 457 nt
Filed under: Nicotiana tabacum (common tobacco)
Lineage: Eukaryota; Viridiplantae; Streptophyta; Magnoliopsida; Solanales; Solanaceae
Description: long non-coding RNA (NTAB_LNC012311)
Source: RNAcentral